AUGGUGCGGUGGUCGCGGCUAGAUGGCGCGGUGGUUGCGGGCUCGGCGACGCGCGCCGCGAUGCGGCGGGGGGAGGUCAGAGGGCGAGAGGUGAAGCCGGAGACUGGUGCGGUGGUUGCGGGCUCGGCGACGCGCGCCGCGAUGCGGCGGGGGGAGGUGGGAGGGCGAGAGGUGGCGCCGGAGACUGGUGCGCAUAGAUAUAAAUUGAUGGGUUCCGACAUACUCACUGAUGAAACGAUGAUAGACCACAGUGAAACACCACGAGAAGAGAAUACAGGAGACAUGGAUAUGGACUUUGGAGAUGCACGGAAAGAAUCCAUUGAGGGUUCAGAUGCGAUGUCGCUGAAAGGGGACGAAGAUUCACAACAUAAAAAUGUCAAAGAGGUGAUAAAUGCUUACAUAUAUUGCAUGCUUGCUCACGACCAUCUACAAGACAGGGCGGGUGAAAAGUUAUUCAUUCCGAUUAACAUGCCGGGCUACCAUUGGUAUCUAGCAGUUGCCAACGCCAAAAAACGAGAGAUCCAAGUAUUGGACUCACUUGGUGAGAAUGUCAAACGCAAUGACCUUGCUACUACGCGUAUCAUGUGGAUUGUUUAUGCUAAAUUAUAUGGAAUACUGGACACCACAUGGACUGUCAGACCAGUUUACGCAGAGCUUACUAAGUUAAAAGGAUGUCCCAUGUACCAUCAACCUCUCAACGAAGAAACUUUAGCUAAUUCUGAUCUUGAGAUCCUGGAUAAUCCAUCUGACGUGGUCGAAGAGAAACGUCCCGCCCCAAUCACUAUCAUUCCCGCGGACCAACGUGAAAUACUUGCCGGCCUCUGCAACUACAUCAUGUCGAUCAAUGAUGUUGGAUGUUUGGAGAAGGUAUGGGUCCGGAGCUCCACACCCGAUCCAAUGAGCUUAAGUCUUAAGAAACUUCAGUGCAUACUUAACAUGGAGCAGCCCAUGGACAAUGAUUGCUUCAACACCGCCGUGCUUAUGCUGGCAUGUGAUGAGGGAGUAUUGUUCACAGACCCUCCUAUACACUACAUGGAUCUACGAUUUUGUUCCAUGCUGCUAGAGUCAACACGAGGUCAGAAAUUUUGUGAGAAGGAAACUAUCCAGACGUUGGCAACAUUAUUUGAUAGCUGGCCUGGGAUGGAGACCGACAUCUCAUCUUGCAAUAAGAUUUAUCUUCCCUAUGCAUCCAUCGGCCGAUACAUCCUCUACAUCAUCGACAAAGAGGCACGUCGUCUAUAUAUUAUUGAUCCUAUUCAAUCAUCACAAUCGUCAGAGGAUAAAAACUUGAGGCAUUCACUGAAAUUAAAGAGUUUUUCAAGGAAUUUCAAAGAAGCACUCGAAAUAAAGCUGCCUGGGUGGAAUUUUGAUAUAUCUAAAUGGCAUCGUUUAUUUCUGGCCGGUGUUCCAACGAGUAUAGACGGGAAUGUGUCUGGCUAUUUUGUUUUUCAUUUUAUGCUCUGGUGGAACGGUAAAGAAUUGGUCAAGCCGGUUUGCGCGAAAGGGGGAUGCCCAGUUGGACAAAAAAGAGUCAACUACAACGGGUUUCCUGAUGCUGCUCCACCCCGCUUCCCUCUCCCCUUUGCUGUAAUUUCUAGACCGGAUUUCUGUUAUUGCAAACCAGGGUUGAGCGUUCUUUGCCUACAAAAGAGAUUGUACCACUACCUUGAGAUUUACAUUUCCCCCUUUCGAUGCCUCAUGCCACGCAGUCCAAGAUGGAAGAGACCUUUCCCAGGCCCAUAUACCAUGCAGUCAAACAGCUAA
Molecule: ribosomal RNA, 1764 nt
Filed under: Triticum aestivum (bread wheat)
Lineage: Eukaryota; Viridiplantae; Streptophyta; Magnoliopsida; Poales; Poaceae
Description: partial small subunit ribosomal RNA
Source: RNAcentral